UACGUAGGGGGCAAGCGUUGUCCGGAUUUAUUGGGCGUAAAGAGCGUGUAGGCGGCCAGACAGGUCCGUUGUGAAAACUCGAGGCUCAACCUCGAGAUGUCGAUGGAAACCGUCUGGCUAGAGUCCGGAAGAGGAGUGUGGAAUUCCUGGUGUAGCGGUGAAAUGCGCAGAUAUCGUGAGGAAGACCAGUGGCGAAGGCGGGUCUCUGGACAGUUCCUGACGCUGAGGCGCGAAGGCCAGGGGAGCAAACGGG
This 253-nucleotide ribosomal RNA is filed under the name uncultured bacterium. RNAcentral's name for it is "partial 16S ribosomal RNA". It matches the Rfam family "Bacterial small subunit ribosomal RNA", at positions 524 to 776 of the family's 1533-position model. The record is from RNAcentral.